This 228-nucleotide ribosomal RNA is filed under the name uncultured bacterium. RNAcentral describes it as "partial 16S ribosomal RNA". It matches the Rfam family "Bacterial small subunit ribosomal RNA", at positions 15 to 236 of the family's 1533-position model. The record is from RNAcentral.
GAUCAUGGCUCAGGAUGAGCGCUAGCUACAGGCUUAACACAUGCAAGUCGAGGGGCAGCAUUUUUAUAGCAAUAUAAAAGAUGGCGACCGGCGCACGGGUGAGUAACACGUAUCCAACCUGCCGAUAACUCGGGGAUAACCCUUCGAAAGUAAGACUAAUACCCAAUGACAUCCCACGAAGACAUCUGAAUGGGAUUAAAGAUUUAUCGGUGAUGGAUGGGGAUGCGU